RNAcentral lists this ribosomal RNA (165 nucleotides) under uncultured bacterium. RNAcentral's name for it is "partial 16S rRNA". It matches the Rfam family "Bacterial small subunit ribosomal RNA", at positions 355 to 512 of the family's 1533-position model. The record is from RNAcentral.
UAGGGAAUCUUCCACAAUGGGCGCAAGCCUGAUGGAGCAACACCGCGUGAGUGAAGGAGGGUUUCGGCUCGUAAAGCUCUGUUGUUAAAGAAGAACACGUAUGAGAGUAACUGUUCAUACGUUGACGGUAUUUAACCAGAAAGUCACGGCUAACUACGUGCCAAG